UGCAAACCAUGCCUGAUGCAUCCAGCCUGGGGGGAUUCCUUCAAAAUACUUCAAAUGGAGUUCUUCUUAUGUUUUGUCAUCUUCAGAUAGCUGAAAAUGGGUUUCUCUGGUACAGGUAUAGACUUGACGACCCAACCAAUUGGCCAAGAAACAGCUGCAAUUCCAAUACAUGCACCCCAUUGCCCCCAAUUCAACCUCUCUGUAUCUGCAAACUUCUUGAGAAAUUCCACCAUCACCACCUGAAGCAGAAUUGUCACUGCAAUGAUCCCCAGAAACAAUUUGUUGGUGUGAAUUCCCUUGAACACAUUCUUCUUCUCAAGCUUCCUUGCAUUGAACUCAUUGAACACCUGGCACAGCACAAACGUGUUGAAGAUCAAGGUGUCCUUUACCUUGUCAUCCACGCCAAAGAUUGAUUUGCCUCUGAAUUGCAGGGUCAGGAGGAUUGCAAUCUGGUACAGUGCUUGAGGCAAGAGGUUCCUCCACAUGAUGUUGGUGAUGAGAGGCUCAGUCCUUCCCACUGGUUUCUUCUCCAUGAGUUCUUUUGUGGGCUUCUCAGUGGCAAGAGCAAGAGCACCUAGUGUGUCCAUGAUCAAAUUCACCCACAACAAUUGAACUGCUGUUAAUGGGACUUCACCUGCAGAAACUGCUGCUACAAAGUUGAUCACAAGAGCUGCAACAUUGACAGUGAGCUGGAAUUGGAUGAACUUCUGGAUGUUAUUGUAAACACUUCUUCCCCAUUUCAAAACUGUGGCCACUGAUGCAAAGUUGUCAUCCAUGAUCACAAUAUCUGAGCUCUCUUUGGCGACUUCUGUGCCUUGAAUUCCCAUGGAAAGUCCUAUAUCAGCUUCUUUCAAAGCAGGUGCAUCAUUCGUGCCGUCACCUGUCACUGCAACCACAUGGCCUUUCUGUUUCAAGCAUUUCACCAUUAGAAGCUUGUCAAAUGGAGACGACCUUGCCAUUACACAGAUUUUGUCCACCUUCAACAUUCUCUCUUCCGGCGUGUAGUUGCGAAAUUGCACACCUUCUACCACUGCUCCACUGAACAUGUCCUGAUUAGGCUUGAGUAUCCCACAUUCUGCGGCUAUGGCUUUUGCAGUGAAAACAUUGUCACCUGUGAUCAUUUUGACAUUUACCCCUGCAUAUUGACAGUCUCCAACUGCUUUCUUCACCCCGGGACGGCAUGGAUCUUUAAGACCAACAAGUCCUAAUAGAGUCAAUCCAUCUUCUUUUAGCAAAGCUUUGUGGUCUCGUUCAUCCACUUGCUCCUCUGCUGGAAUUUCUUUAUGCGCAAAUGCAAUGCAUCUGAGGCUGCUAGCUGCCAUACCUUGAAUAAUCUGCUCAAAUCUCAUUUUUGCAUUGUCAUCCAUAUUUAUAACAAGUCCAGAGGCAUUGUAGUAACUUGUGCACAUUGCUAGUAUCAUCUCAGCAGCUCCUUUCCAAUGUGCUUGACUUGUAUUGUUGUCAGCCUUCCUCUUCAUCAAAACCCCACUUCGUUUCUUCUGUGAAUUGAAGGCCUCAACGUACAGAAUGCUACAACUCUUCACCACUUUCUGCAUAUCCAUCUUCGAUCCAUGUACCGCCCAUGAAAGAAUAGCCUUCUCAGUAGGACUGCCUGAGAUUUCAAUUUCUGAAUCGGAACUAGGCCUGUAUACACUACCAGUUGUAUUCAGAGCAACCCCUUCUUGGAUCAAAUUAAGAACAUAUGGAGAUAUAGAUGAAAAAGCUUCCUCUGCCACGGGUUCUUCACCCAACCAAAACUUAGUCACCUUCAUUUCAUUCAUGGUGAGAGUGCCUGUUUUGUCAGUACAAAUGACGGUAGCAGAGCCCAUGGUCUCACAAGCAGAGAGCUUCCUCACCAUUGCUUUAUCAACCAUCAUUCUCUUCAUGGAAUAAGCAAGAGUCAGAGUCACAGCUAGAGGCAAGCCUUCUGGAAUUGCCACCACAACAAUUGUAACUGCAGCUGCUACAAUCUCAACGACCGCGUUUAAUAUGUCAUCAACUUUGGUCUUGCUGCCAUUAUACUCCUGAUUUCCAUUCUCAUCCUGUGUAUUUCCUGUGAAGUAUCUAACUGACAAGACAAUGAGCACUAGAAAAGCAACAACCAACCCAACUUUACCAAUUGAUGAAGUUAGCUUGUUGAGGCGAGCUUGUAAAGGCGUCUGUUCAUUUGUGUCACGGCUGAUUUGGCUCAUCAUUUCACCCCAAGUUGUGUUCAUGCCCACAGAAGUUACAAGCAUCCGAGCGUAGCCAUCAGCCACCUUGGUGCCAGAGAACAAGAACGGAUUUUGGGUUUGAUUUAUUUCCACAUGGUCACUUUCCCCCGUCAUGCUUGAUUCAUCUACUUGUAAUGAAUGGCCAUCAAGAAACAACCCGUCAGCUGGAACUUGAUCUCCAAUCUUCAAGCAAAUGACAUCGCCAACAACAAUAUCGAAUAUUGAAAUCUGUUGGCGCCUGCCACCUCUCACAGCUUCAAUUUGGACGUUGUCGCUGACUUUUGAUAACUUAUCAAACUGCCUGUUCUGCCUGUAAUUACUUACAGCCGACACAGAAAUCACCAGAAUGAUUGCGAUAAGUAUGCUUCCACCAUCGAUCCAGCCUUCUUUAAGGCCAUGCACUUUGAUCCCGAGACCAAGAGAGAGUGCAGCACAGCCUAAGAGGAUGAUAAUUGUGAGGUCUUUAAAAGCUUCCCAAACAAAAUGGAAGAACCCUUUUGCUGGUGGCUUCAUGUAUGUGUUUGAGCCAAAGGCUUCAACUCUUUUGGCAAUGUCUUGAGCCUCACCAUAGCCAUGGAUUCCAUGCUCUGCAUCAGUUUUGAGAGCUGAUGCUAUUUCUUCAGCCCCUCCCAGCUCCCGGAGCUGGUUGAGGCUUCUCUCCUUGACAAGGUAAGUGAGGGUGGUUUGAUCAAUUUCAAACUCAUUAUCUGGCUCGACAGUAAGAGUGGCAUAAGAGGGAGAGCGAGGUAUUUUGGUGUUUGUGAAUUUGGGUUUGGAUGGAGAAGAAAGGUUGAAGGCUCUGGAGCAGUAGAUUGUUGCAAAAGCAGAAUGCCAUUUUCUUUGGUGUUUGGUAAGAGUGUUUUUUGGAACAGCAAAAAGCAACGCAAUUUCAAUGCACCCAAGUUUCGCAUGCAGGGUGGUCGACAUGCUGCUGCUCAGCUCAAUUGAAAACCGCAAAACUAAAGAAUGUGAUGAAAACUAAGGCAGAGAGAUGGAAAGACUAUUGUGACCAACUGACUCGCAAGGAGUUAUGGACACAAGAUUGACAAUUCUCAAGGAAAACUGAAAAGUGGAGAAAAUGUUUUGGGGAAUUUUUAAGGAAUUAAAUUGUUUAUAGAAUGCAAUUGUAGUGCGAGGAUCACCACCUUGCAUGAAGAGGCCUACUUAUAGUCUUCUUUUGUAAGAGGAAGACAAAAACAGCAUGUUUCUCAUCGGAAACUUGUACAUGAAGUUGUAGAGAAAGAACUUACAAGGACUAGCAGCAGGCUCCGGGAAACAACCCAGAAAAAAAAGAAGAAAAAAGGACCGCCGUACUUUAUGUCAGCUCUUAAUUUGUGUUCAUAUUUUUGAAGCUGACAUUGGCUUAAUCAAGUUGGCUAGAACAGAUGUGCUUCCCACUCUGUAUCCGAGUUCGGAUCCCCCUUUCUGUAGCUUAGGUUAGUUUAAAGUAAAUUAUCGCUUGAAUGAACAAAGUUUUUUUUGAAAUUGUUUAAUAUAUGAAGGUCGGUAUGAGAAACAAAUUAAUACAUAGAAGGUAUCUUCAGGCUCAAUAUAAUUGUCGGUGAAAGCUCCAAUAUUAAACCGAGUAUCAAUACCGCACCCAGUGGAAUUUGAAAACGCGGUCGACGCACCGUAGCAAUAUUUAUAUUUAAAAAUAAAAAAGAAUAGUAUUUUGGGAAAUUCUUCUCACGUAAACCCCACAACCGAACCAAAUCCACGUGAUUUCAAAUUAUUUACUUUGCAAGACAAAAUUACAUCUCAUUGUAGUGGGGUUUAUAAUGCUUUUUGUUUUUGAGAGGAGGGUUUAUAAUGCUGUAGAGGUUUUUUGGUUUCAAAAAGAGGUUGAGUUUUGUUUUCCGAUCUCAUUCACUGAAAAAUAAACGGAUGUUGUGAGAGAGAGACUAACCGUUAGGUUCCAUUUGGUUCAUGGGAAAUGAGAAUUGGAGAUGGGAAAUCAAUUACUUUCCUAUGUUUGGUAAGUCCAGGCAUAGGAAAUCAUUGCCUAGCCCAUGGGAAAGUAGGAGGAAAAGUGAAGCCAUCUUCCUAACUUGGGUUUUGUUUUUGACUUAAAUGUCGAAAUGGUCCCUAUGUUCUACCUUAUCGGCCAAUUUAGUCCCUGUGUUAUUAAUUUGGCCAAUUUAGUCCCUGUGUUUGUAUAUGUUAACACAUUUGAUCCUUUCUGUCAAAAUUAUGUUAAAACCUAUAAAUAAAUAAAAUAUUUAAAAUUAAUUUAAAAAUCUGUAAUUAAUUAUAAAGAUUGAAACUCAAAUAAUAAUAAUGCUAAAAUGAUUAAAAGCCACACAACCUCAACCUCAAAUGGUCUCGAUUCCUGUAGGAAAAAAAAGGGUUCUUAGUUGAAUUGAUGCCUACUCUUUUCUUGCUGCAAUUUUUCUUCUCUCUUAUGUUUAAGAUUUUCUCAUACUCUACCCUUCAUCUCUCUCUCCUCUUCGAUCCAUUGGCCUGAAUAUCGUUGACUUUUGCUGCAGCGAGGAUGAUCAAUUGGCGGUAGAGCCAUCAAGGUUACGGUGACCGGCUAUGAAGAUCUUCGUGAUUUGUCAGAGAGGAAGCCAAGAGAGAGAGAGAGAGAGAGAGAGAGAGAGAGAGAGAGAGAGAGAGAGAGAGAGAGAGAGAGAGAGAGAGAGAGAGAGAGUUGUUGUGGUUAGGUGGGUGGGUUUGGGAGGUGGCUAUGGUUUGGGGUUGGAGUGGUGGUGGUGAGGGUGGCUGGGUUUGGGAGGUGGUUGAGGUGUGUGGCGAAAUUGGGGAAGGUGAAAUUUAAAAAAAAAUAUUCCAUUUUCAGAUUGAAUUUAAAAUUUUAUAAUCAAUUACAGUUUUUAUUUUAAUUAAUUUUAAAUAUUUUAUAUUUUAUAUUUUGAAGGGAAUGGACCACAUUGACUAAUAUAUACAAACACAAGGACCAAAUUGGCCAAAUUGAUAACACAUGGACUAAAUUGGCCUAUGAGAUAAAACACAGGGACCAUUUUAACAUUUAAGCCUUUGUUUUUCUCAUCAUGGGAAAGUUUGGAGAAAUUAACCAAUAUUAAAUACACAUUUUUCAUGACCAUUUUGUCCCCAUUAUGAGUAUAAUUGAAAAUUUAUACAAACUUUGUUUCUCAUUCCUACUCAAAACAAACAUGGGAAAGGAAAUAAAAAGGAAACACAUACACAUCACUCUGAGCCAAAGAAAUCAUACGUCACUAAAAAGAAGUAAGUAUGACGCCUUCAAAACUUCAAUAGGAGUGGUUAAAUGCAUAUUUUACGGCAAAGAUUCAAAUUGUGGACUUGACUCAAGUUAAAGUCAUGCACAAAUUAGAGCAACAAUGCAGUGGCAUAAAAUAAAACGCAAAGAAAAGAGCUCUUUAACUCGGACCGACGAAAUAGGAAAAUAUUAGGAAGAUCAUAUUUAAAGACCAUCUUGUGUAUCACAUUUCUAAUAGAUGUGGAUUAAAAAUAUUCAAUUUUAAACCUUAAACCCUACAAUACUCAAUUUUAAAUUAAAAAUAUAAUUAAAGAUAUAUAGAAAAUAGAGGGAAAAAGAAGAUGUUGACGUCGAGUAGCUGAGAAAGAGAGAAACAAGUUGAUAUCGCAUAGCCAAAAGAGAAGGAAAGAGAAGAUAUUGAACCACCUAGAUAGGCAACUGUGUGUAGAGUUUGCUUUUUAUUUUUAUUUUUAUUUUGGGCUAGGCUUAUAACAUAUGUGGGUAUUUUUUAUAUUUUAUUUUUUAAUUUGGGUUGAACGAGCACCCAACCUGCCCUAUGCACAUAACCACCCAUGUGUGGAACUCACUGUAUUGGUGGGCUCCACUUUUACUAGAGAGAUGAUACAUAAUGUGGUCUAAAUGUAUUCUCCCUAGCAUGACCUGACCAAAUAACACAGUAAUUACAUGCCACUUGUCUUCAAUCCGCAUGAGGGGCGACAAACAUGCAACGUGUACCAAGCGCCAGAUCCAAGAAUUUCUCCAUAAUUAAGGUGUUGCGGAUGGUUCAACUAAAUUUUAAGUCUACAAGAGUCUUGGGGUCAACUUAAAUGUUUUAGUUCAAUUUUUCGUACCAAAUUGUUAACAACCUUCACCUGAAAGUGUGAUAGAAAAUACAAAGAAUGUAUGGUGAGAAAGAAUGGUAUAAGUAAACUACUCUUAUUAUGCCAUAAAGCAAGGUAAUGAAUUUCUUUGUCAACCAGACAAUUAUUUUGUUUUCUGAUGUUGAUGCUCAAAAUGGCCCGGCCAAUAGUGAGUCCAACUUAGUGAUGAGGUGUGAUGGAUGAUGGAUGAAGGUGAGGAUCUUCACCAAGUGUGUGAGGAUUUGGGCAAACGAUAAACAUAUGGAAGACAAGAUAUACGUGGUUCACCCGAAUGAUAGGCUACGUCCACGGAGAAGGGUGUUCUCAUUAUGAUAAUGUUUGUUUACAUUUGUACAAGGGGAUUAGACCCAAAUAUAAAGAUAACAAGUGAGAAGCCCAGUCUAGUGAUCUAGAAGAGAGAGUCCAAGGCCUAAGGGUCUAGAUCCAAGACCCGGAUCCCCCUCUAAGGAAAGAGCAGUCUUCUUUUAUAGGUGAGGGGGAGUCCAUCUCUUGUAGUUUUCCGAUGUGGGACUCCUCUUACUCUGCUUAGAGUUGUGAUUUGUGGUGGUGCUUCUUGGGCUAAGGUGAUGACCUCUCAAAGCAUGGCACGUGGAUGAUCUAGCCUAGCUAGUUGCUCGGUCAGUUACGGUACCAACAGUAGUCCCCCAAGUUCUCGAGUAAGAAGGUACUUCUUGGUUGGGGACUUGUAAUUUUAAGUGCACUGGCCGAGCAACACCAUAGUUCAUCUUCCAAGCUGUAUAGUGCACUACCCAUAGUCCCCCAAGUCCUCGGGUAAGAAGGACAUUUGGAAGGGAGAGAACUUGGCACGAGGGUGCCGAAGGUGAAGAGGUAGCCGAAGGGACAAAGUUGCAUGUCUCAGGGUAAUGUGGUUGGGCACGAGGGUGCCGAAGGCAUAUGAAUUGCAUGUGUCAAGGCGAUGGGCUUAGGCACGAGGGUGCCGAAGGUGACACUAAGCUUGCAUGUUUGCAAGGCAAUGUGUUUAGGCACGGGGGUGCUGAAGACAAAGAGAAUGUCGAAGGAGACAUGAAGCUUGCAUGUCACAAGGCAAUGUGGCUGGGCAAGAGGGUGCCGAAGGCACAAAGCUUGCAUGUUGCAAGGCGAUGUGGCCUAGGCACAAGGGUGCCGAAGGCAUAAGACUUGCAUGUUGCAAGACAAUGAAGCUAGGCACGGGGGUGCCGAAGGCAAAGGGGAUGCCGAAGGCACAGAGCUUGCAUGUCGCAAGGCAAUGUGCCUAGGCACGAGGGUGCCGAAGGCAUAAGACUUGCAUGUUGCAAGACAAUGGAGCUAGGCACGGGGGUGCCGAAGGCAAAGGCGAUGUCGAAGGCACAGAGCUUGCAUGUCGCAAGGCAAUGUGCCUAGGCAAAGGGGAUGCCGAAGGCACAAAGCUUGCAUGUCGCAAGGCAAUGUGUCUAGGCACGGGGGUGCCGAAGGGGACACAAAGCUUGCAUGUCGCAAGGCAAUGUGCCUAGGCACGAUGGUGCCGAAGGCAGAAGAAUUGCAUGUCGCAAGGUGGUGGGCCUAAGCACGAGGGUGCCGAAAGCAUCACAAAGCUUGCAUGUCGCAAGGCGAUGUGGCUAGGCACGUGGGUGCCGAAGGCGACACAAGGCUUGCGACAGCUUGCAUGUCGCAAGGCGAUGUGGCUAGGCACGUGGGUGCCGAAGGGGACACAAAGCUUGCAUGUUGCAAGGCCAUAUGCUUAGGCACGGGGGUGCCGAAGACAAAGGGAAAAAUGUAAGAAUGCAUUUUUUUUUUUUUUGAAUGGCCGGGCCAUUUUGAGAGAGCUUGAAGGUUUUCUUGAAUUGGGCCUUCAGCAAGUAUGAAGGGCUUGAGGUGGGCUUCGGCAGGUAGGGUUUUGGAGGAGGGGAGUAUGUAAAUAAGGGGUGGCCACCAUGCCGUUCGGCAGUUCUCACUUCGGCACUUUGGGGUAGAAAGUCUUGGAGUGUGCUAGGUCUCCCUUUCCGUGUUGGGUCUAGGUUUUAGUCUAGCAGUUCAGCAAGCGUGAUUCGGCAGGUAGCGUUGGGCUUAGCAGCUGGUUCGGCAGGCGGCGAGGCAGCUGGUUCGGCAGGUGUGGUGCUGAGCCGAUCGGCAGGUUCUGGCCAAGGUGCAGUUGAAGUGCUGCUGAGAUCAAAGGGGAGCCGCGACUGAUCUUGCCGUUCGGCAAGAGGCUUGGGUCGAAGGGGCUGGGCAGUUGUCUAGGCAGGCUAUUCUGUCCGAGGAGGUUGAAGUGCUGCCGACUGGUCUUGCCGUUCGGCGAAGGACUUGGCGGCGGCUGAGUGGUCCCGCGGCUGGAGGCUUCGGCAGGGGUGGUUGCACCUUCUUGAUUCCGUAAGUCCCCACUUGCUUCCGCGUUCCCCUUGCCGAAUGGCAAGGGAGGGUUGAAAGUUUUUUGAGGUCUCCCCUUCGUGAGAGCUGGGUGCUGUUUGAAAUUCGGUAGGUGGCUUGAGCAAGGAUUUGUCGUUCAGUGGCACAGCUUCAGCACCUGGGUUUGAAGCUUUCAAGAACCUUCAGCGUGGGACCUGCCGAUCGGCAAGUGCCCCUUGUGAGUUUGGGAAACACCUACCUUUCGGCAGGGCCUGGUGUCUUCAACCCUUGCCGAACGGCAGGAGCCGUCUGGAGGAGAAAUUUGGGGACCGCUCAAGGGAAAUCUUUCACGGGACCUACCGUUCGGCAGCACACACCCAGCACGGGUUGUUUUGGCAGCACACCUUCGGCAGGUUUGGAGAAGAAUUUCGGGUAAGGGCCUUGGAGCUGAGCUACUGCCGUUUCACAAGAGAGCUGGGCAAUUGAGGCUUGGCUUUCGGCAAAGAGUUUUAGUUUCGUAGCCGGGGCUGGGCCCUCUGAAUUUUGGUCGUGUGCUCUUUUAUUUCUGCUCGACCCUUGCCGUUCAGCAAGUGUGGGAAAAUUGGGAAAUAUUGAGGUCACGGCAAGGCCAUUUUGAAUUGUACUCCCGUUUAGCAACCUCAAUCUUAAUCGAGUGGUCUAUUGUUGUGUCUAGCAGGAGCUGGGUAUGAAACAAUUUGGCGAAACUUUGAGGCUGAGCCUGUGAAGGUUGGCGAAAAUUUGGAGCGGAGGAAGUCGAGAGAACUUUAGGGUUUAGGGUUCUUGGGUCUGUGCAAUUGGCUUCAGUCAGCUCACUAGCUCCGUUCGGCAAGAGUCUAUCACUCGGGUCUUGUGAGUUUUGACUUGAAGGUUGAGCACCGCUCAUCUCAAAGGAAAGCUGCCCGGGUCAAUCAGUUUGAUGUUUUCUUCUAUGCUUGUUUGAAAAUUUUGGUCAAUUGGCUUCAGAGACCAAUCUGUAGUAACUAAUGUGCAAGAGGUGAGGUCCACCACUUUCUCUUGGAGUGGAAUUUUGGAACUGCUUCUUCAGCUUUGGACGGAAGCUGUUGCCCGCUUAAUGGGGUGGUGAAAAGAGGGGAUAUUCAAAUGCUAUGAUGCCUUGGGAGAUAUGAUUAGAGAUUGCCGUGCGGAAUAUUGGUACCCUCGGCAUGCCGGAUCCAAGUUAUCCUCUGUUGAAGACAUUAUGGGUGUCUUGAGAAUUUUUAGGUGGCUAGACAGAUCGGUGAGAGUGACAUGGUGCCUCAAAUAUGAGAUAAAUCUUUAGUUUGGAGAUGAGCGACUGCAGAUGAGGUGCCAUUUGGUAGUUUGCAUGAGCCUUGCUUCAGAUACGAUAACUUCUACUUCUACUUCUUGGGGUGUCCUGCGUUCAGAAUUUUUGAAUUUGCUGUUUUGAGCCGGGCCGCGCAGCGGUGGUCUGGGCUCUAAUUGGGUCUUUUGCAAGACGUUUGACAAAGUGGGUGUCUUGAUAAAUUCAGUAGUUGGGUGAUGUAAUUAGAGGUGGCCUCCUGUCUUGACUUGGACAUCAUGCAUAUCUUGAGCAAUUGAUUGAGACAUGGUGGGUCUGUUUAUGUGUAUGAGAUUUGCUUCAGAUGUAGCUUGUCUAAGAUACUUGGAUUUGGUUGUGCCGAAAAGAGUUUGGGCAUUGGGUGUUGUACAGCACUUGCAACUAGUUUUGUCUCCUGGAAGCGAACCACGUGGGCAUUGGGUACCCAAUAUUUUGCCAAAGACGUGUAGAAUAUACAAGGGCCCCCAAACUUUCUUCUUCAAAGAGGUGCCGAAUGGCACUUUGAAUUGAGAUGGUGGUUUGACCAUGCAAGCCAUGCAAGACAUGAAAAGGGUAGCUACAUUCUGAAUGGCUAAUAGAUUAGUGGACUUGUACCAUUUAUGUCGGCAAAUGAGAAUAAAAUAAAGACACAAGAUGAGAAAUGGAGAUCUUAUCUUUUGGGAGCCCACUCAUCAAUAUUCACCAAAGGUGCCGAGCGGCAAGGCAUGUAAAGGAAAGCUAGGGUGGCCUACAUAUUUCCUCUUCUUCUAGAUUAUUAUAUUGCAAGGAUUCAUCUUCUGCAUCACUCUUGUCGGACAGCAAGUUAGGUGAUGUUGAUUGUAGGGGUGCCGAAGGCACUGAAGAAAGGGAAGAACGACAGAAAUCUUUUGUGUCGAUUCCCACAGACGGCGCCAAACUGUUGAUGCUCAAAAUGGCCUGGCCAAUAGUGAGUCCAACUUAGUGAUGAGGUGUGAUGGAUGAUGGAUGAAGGUGAGGAUCUUCACCAAGUGUGUGAGGAUUUGGGCAAACGAUAAACAUAUGGAAGACAAGAUAUACGUGGUUCACCCGAAUGAUAGGCUACGUCCACGGAGAAGGGUGUUCUCAUUAUGAUAAUGUUUGUUUACAUUUGUACAAGGGGAUUAGACCCAAAUAUAAAGAUAACAAGUGAGAAGCCCAGUCUAGUGAUCUAGAAGAGAGAGUCCAAGGCCUAAGGGUCUAGAUCCAAGACCCGGAUCCCCCUCUAAGGAAAGAGCAGUCUUCUUUUAUAGGUGAGGGGGAGUCCAUCUCUUGUAGUUUUCCGAUGUGGGACUCCUCUUACUCUGCUUAGAGUUGUGAUUUGUGGUGGUGCUUCUUGGGCUAAGGUGAUGACCUCUCAAAGCAUGGCACGUGGAUGAUCUAGCCUAGCUAGUUGCUCGGUCAGUUACGGUACCAACAUCUGAUAACCUGGUGCUUUGCUUCAGCAUUCAACAACCUUUGGUAGGAACUGGGCAUUUGCAUGGUUGCUUAAGAAUAAAUUGUCUAGAAUUUUUAGAUCAAGUUGUUUGACUCCAAAUGUGAAGGCUCAAAAGUAAACAAUGGGAAGAAUUACCUACGUCAAACGCAACAAUUAUGCCAUGGUGUGAAUCUGAACCACAAAAGAGAGAAAACCCCAAGGCCCUGUUUGGUGGCCAAGACUGGACACGAUUGGACUAGAUUAAACUUCUAGGAUUGGAUUGGUUAGGACCAGUCAAGAAUCCUGUCCAUGAUUUGGUGCAACACCAGUCUGGACCAAACUAAAAAAAAAAACAGAAAAUUCGAAAAUUAUCAAAAAAAUCUUCAGAACUUUGAACUUCAUCACACAAAAAUUAUCAGGGGAAGAGAGGAAGAUUCAUAAACCCUAAGCACCAAAUAUUACAAAAUAGAGAAAGAGGGGAAGAUUCUCAUAAACCCAAUCUAGGAGAUGCAAAGAUUCUCAUAAACCCAGUCUAUCAGAACAUUGAAUUUCACACAAAAAUCAUCAGAUUAAUAUGAAGAUUUUCCCAGACAAGGAGAGAAAAAAUCAAAGAUAGAGAAUAGAAGAGAGGUGCGAGAAUAGAGAAGAAGCAAAUCACGCACGAACGAGAGGUUGGAGAAGACGAACGCGAGUUGAGGAACCCGAACAGAUAACGAGCCAGAGGUUGAGAAACCCGCUGUUAUUAUAAGACUAACGUCCAAGAUCUAUAUCCAGUCUGUGGUGUGGAUCUAUAUCAAAUAUGUGCGUCUUGGUGACGACGUUGUGAAGAAGUUAUUUGGUGGAUCUAUGUCAAAUAUGUGCGCCUUGGUUUGAUUCGAGCGGUGGUGGUGAUAGGGCAUUAUGUUUUGUUUAUCUUUUUAGUUCGCCUUGGUUUGAUUCGAGCGGUGGUGGUGAUAGGGCAUUAUGUUUUGUUUAUCUUUUUAGUUAUGGUUUGUUUGUCUCCGUGAGAUUGUUGAAUUGUCUCUUUUCUUGGGAGCGGUGUCUUCGGGUGUUUUUCAACUUUCCACUCUAUAAUUUACGAAUUAUUCAAUUAACCAAGGAAGGAACUACUGAUAAGAGAAUUUGUUGCUGUUGCCUUGAAUCACCUUGGACGCCGCUACUCGAAUUUAUAGUUCCUUGGAUAAAGAGGUUACUUGGAAACUCUUUGGUGACGUGAGCGUGUGCUAUAUGAACUGGACAACGCGGAGUAUAACGUAUGCGAAGGGUGCAUUUUAAUUCUGUUUGUGUAACGUUUUCUCAAACUCAUACAUAAGUGUAUUUAAUGUGUUCAAAAACUCUUUGUCUCCGUAAGGCUCGCAUAAAGGAUUUAAUGGGAAAUGAAAGAUUUAUUUUUCAUGUUUGAUAAUGCUGAAAAAGUAACUAGGAAAAACCACUUUAUUUCCUUUUCCAUGUUUAGUUUGUGUAAGAAUGUAAAACAAAAUUUGUCUUAUUUUUCAAUUAUACCCACAUUAGAUUAAAAACAAAAAAGAAUGCAUUUAAUACUAUAUUGUAAUUCUAAAUUGUUAAUAGAGACAAAAUGAUCAUUAAAAAGGUGCAUUUAAUGCUGGCCUUAGUUUCACAUGGGAAGGAAAAAUGAAAUCCAGGCAACUAUUUCAUUCCCCUUAUUUUCUUAUAUGCCAGACAACUAUUUUCCAUUUUUGGACUUACCGAACAUGGAAAAUCAAGAUUUUCCAUCUCAUUUCUUAUGAACCAAACACUCAUUUUGUUUUCUUUACAAGUAAAAGAUAGUACUUAUGUUAAAUAAAUAAAUUUAUGUGUGAGUAGAAUAUAUGCAGCACAAACCUGAAUGAGCAAGGCAAAAAGAAGAAGACAAGAAGGAAGGUACCUACCUGGUAUUCUCACGCUAUUGUUGUUGAAAAAGGGAAAGAAAAUACAGGUCGGUUUUCCACAUACUUUAUAAAAAGAAAUAAAAAAGCCAAAGAAAUUUAAGUCGUCUUUUUUAAGUGGUUCUCACGCUCAUUCAUUCUCUCUGCAAUUCCACUGCAUUCAGAUUGAUUAAUGUUCAAGUUUCCUUUUCUUUUCUUUUAAAAAAAAAAUUAAUUUAAUUUAAUUUUUAUAAUGAUAACUUUGAUGUAUACAACACAAAUUAGUUGGUACAAUUCAAUGUACCAAACAUAAAAAUACCUGGUAGUAUUUCUCUCUUGUCAAAAAGUUUGCGUUAAACACUUUUGUUUUUCUUUUCUUUUGUUUAAGAAAGUUGGGUUUCAUGAAAUUUGAACUUGACAUCAUUGUCUACAACAAAAUGAUACUACCGUCAAGUAUUUAAGAGUUAAUAAAAUAUCUAACAUCACUCUUCUUGCCCACUAAGGGAUCAGAGUGGUCCCGGCCCUCGUCACAAUAUAUUAAUAUAUUUUGUGAUAUUUUUAGAGUAUUUAUAAUCAUGUUCCUUAUUUUUCAGUUAAGAUUUGGUUAAAAACACAUAAAAAUUAUUUUAAGAGCUCUCUAUAAAAUUUGAACUCCAAUCUACUCUCUAGUUUAGGGAGUCAUAAAUAUUAUAGUUGUUUUAUUUUAUUUAUUUAUUAUUAUUAUUUAAUUCAAUAUGAUUGGUCCAUCUCUAUAAAAAAAAAUAGUUAGCAUUAAUUAAAAGUUUAAACUAUACAUAAAAUAAAGCAGCAUUAAAUUAUAGGGAGUCACUAGGAGUCAUUUCUCUCUCCUCAAAUUUAGGAGCUCCUAGAGGUCUCCAUAUUUUAGGAGGUGGAUAGGGAGCAUGGUUGGAGUUGUAUUUUUCGAAUGCAUCUCUAAAAUUUGUCUAAGGAGGUGGUUUAGGGAGCCCAUUGUGGAUGCUCUUAAUAUUUUAAGAGUCUCCUAUUCAAGUUUACCUCUUUUUUUAGAUCACUUUCCUUAAAAUUUAAUUAGUAUACGUAUUAUUAUUAUUUUUAUGCAAAUCCUUAAAAUCCAAGAGUCAUUUUCAACCAUUUCUUUGCUCUUAUAAGUAGGUUGGAUCACAUGAUUCACUAGUGCAGUAGUUUGGGGUAUUUACUCCCUCAGGCAAGGUCUUGGGUUCGAGUCUUAGCAUCCAUGUAGUGUGUAUAAGUUUAGUAUACUAUCGUCCCUCUCAAUAAGAAAGGUCUUUAAAAAAAAAAAAGUUGGACACCAUAUUUGUGACUUUGGUUUAUUAUGUUAUUCUUCAUAUGAUAUAAUAUGUAUUAUCAAGUUUCAAUUAGGUUGGAUGCUCUCUUGUUCAUGAGAAGAGUUGUGGGAAACAACUUUUAGAACCAAGGGUUUCUGCGCAGCUAGGGUUUUCAGUCUUGUCACUCUCAGACGUCGGCUCCUGAUGUUGCUCCCUUGACGUCUCCAGCCUCCAACGUUUGUGCGAAGUUGCCUAUUGCUGCUUUGCUCAUCAUCUCAGUAAGUUUCGUUAGUACACAAAACUCUUUGUUUGGUUUUCCCCCUUGUCUUUGGCUAUCGCAGACUUGCUCUCUUACGCAAGGAGAGCCGUGGAAAAAACACACAAAGCCUAGGGUUUGCUCUUGCUCGUUGACUUGUGGUUGUCGCUGCCUCCUUUCCUCUCUAUACGUUUUGUCCUGCUGAUUUUGGUUUCAUGGUAGGGUUUCUGUCGAUGGAAGAUUUAGGGUGCGACGGUUGAUUUUCGUUCUUGAGUGUGUUGGUGGGAGGAUGAGGAUCCUGGUUUUUGGUAAAGGGCAAGGUUUUGAUGAGACUAAGAAGUCCAAUGCUCGGGUGAUUAGCUUCUAUGACCAUCCUGGGCCUAGCCAGCGAUGCACAAGUAUGAGCCUUCGGAAGCAUCUCUGGAAACUGAGAUUGCUCACCGGAGUUGUCGCUACCUGGCUGAUGAUGGCUUGGAGAUUUUGCAGUGGCGCCCUUUCUAAUAUGGCUUAAGGAGACCGGUUUUGUGGGGCCUCUUGGGGGCCAACCUUAGUGUGCGGUUGGAGUGUUCGUGGGCUUGGCAUCCUAUGAAUGCUCUGUUCCCUAAAGCCUCAUUCUUAAGGUUAAGUGGCUGACGUGGGGUUUGUUUUGUGUGGUGUUUUAUGUUGUCUACCUCUCUAAAUGCUUUCCACUUUUGUGUUGUUCAACGGACUAUGGUUCUUUCAUAGGAGGUUUCUUUUGACAGUGUUAGGAUGCAACAAUGUGUUUUCUGAAGGGUUUUUCUUUGUUGUUGUCCUUUUGUUUUUCUCCCACUGUUGUGUUGACCCUUUGCAGCUGUUCUCUGCUCUACGCUGCACGAAGAACUAUGCUUGGUCAUAGAAGGUUUUUCUUUCUCAGGCACUGAGUUUGGUGGGCUUCUCUGGGGUUCCUCUUUGUUGUCGUCUCUUUUUUUUCUUCGCGUCUUCUCUUGUGUCUCCGACUCUUGGUGUGCGAUGUUGUUCUUGUGAUGUACAAAAGACUAUAAGUUCUCAUAGAAUGCUUCUUUUAACAGUUUGGUUGCAUUGCGGUUCUCUCUUGUGGGUCUACUGUGUUGGUGUCUAGUAAGUAUUUUUUUUUUCUGGUUUUUUGUAACGGUCCUAAGUAGCUUGGGUCAGACUCUCCUAUUAGUUCAUGGCAUGUGUGGUACUCUUUCUUACCCGGGAUUUGUCCCAUGUGAUUUUUCUAAGAAGUUUAUAACGAGGCCACUGUAAUCAUGUUGUUGUUUGUAUGCCAAUUAUGGUUUAUGAAUGAAAUCUUCUUCUCAAAAUUUUCAAUUGGUUUGACUCAAUUAAGGUUUGUUAAUCUUUCUCGUAUUUUUGAGUGUUUUCUCCACAUAUGGUUUGUUUGGGUUUGUGAAAUUUUGAUUUAAUAUCUAUUGAGCUCAAUUUAUGUGAGGUUACCAAAGAAAAAAAUUUGUAAAUAUUUUUUUAGGCCAGUUUGGCAUUGCUGUGCUAUGAAAAUAAUCGAAGUCAGAUUUGCUGUGAGAGAAAUCAGUUGUGGAAUAAAGCAAUUUGGCGUUUGGUAAACUUUUUGUUAAAAGUGUUGUUAGUACUGAUUCCCACAUAAUCAGAAAAUGAUUGCCGCAUAAGCAUUAAACCCAGCACCUUUUCGAAACUGAUUUCUGCAUAAUUAGAAAAUGAAAGCAUCUCAUUAGCUGUUUUCCCUUAUAACUUUCUCUCACAACAAUUUUUAACAAUAAGUGAUUUUCUCAUAGUUUACCAAAUGGGCUGAGCUUCUCAAAUUUUUUAAAAAAUCACUUAUCACCUCAAAUAAGCAAUGCCAAUCGGACACUUUAUAUAUGAUCCUUUCGGUCAGUGGCGGACCUGUGCAGCGCAAUGAGGUGCACUUGCACCUCCGGUCACCGGAAAAGUCCAUUACAACAGCUGGAAUUGCACCUCUGCUUUAGAAAUGAGAUGCACAGAACCCGUUCGACGAAAUGCUCAAACCGGCUGGGAGAGUUGAAUCGCUGUUCACAGUGCGCCUCCUUAUUAUUAUUUUUUUAAUACAGCCUGGCCAAAACGACGUUGUUUUGGACUAGGGUUUUAAAGAGGCGCUGAUGUGGUUUUUUUUUAUUAUUUAAAUUUUAAUUUUAACCUGGCCAAAACAACGUCGUUUUGGACCAGGGUUUUUUUUAUAAAAAAAAACUUAAAAAUGUAAGAAAACUGCUGCGCUGCUGGGCCAUUCUAUUGGGCUUUUUAAUUUAUAUUAUUCCUUACUUAAUUGGGUUUCCAUUUUUUAUAUUUCCUUACUUAAUUGGAUUUUUAGUGAGAGUUAUCUUUAUUCAAUUAGGUUUUGGGAAUUCCUUAUUUAAUUGUGAUUGAAAUUCUCUAUAUAAAGGACCAAUUUAUUCAAUUGUGUAUGCAUCACAAGAAUCCUACGUUUUUUUCUUCUUCUUGAGUAAUGGAAUGGUACUUUCAUAGAAAGAGUUUAAAUCCUCCUUCAAAUAAUCCGAGUUGUUCAAAUCCUCCCUCAAAUAAUCCAGCUAGUUCCAACCCUCCUUCAAAUAAUCCAGCUAGUUCAAAUCAACCUUCAAAUAAUCCGCCUACUUCACAUCCUCCAUUGAAUAAUUCGGGUAGUCCAAAACAUUCGCAAGUCACUGAGUUGGAUGAAAUAUUGGCUAAUCUUCCUGCAGACCCUGGACUUAGACCUCCAAUGAAUUAUUGUAAUCCCAAUUUUCGAGAACAAAUUCGAAGAGCCUAUCUGCAAAGGGGUCCUUGUCAGCCUAAAAGCCAAAACGACAUGCCUCAAACACUUAUGGGGGAGAGUAAUCGACUCUUUCUUGUGAAAUGGUUUGAUUCAUUUGUUUGGUUGGAGUAUAGUAAAGAGAAAGAUGUUGCAUUUUGUCUUCAUUGUUAUCUUUUUAAAUGCGACUUUGAUAAACAAGGAAAGGCUGGAAGCGAUGUCUUCAUUGAGAAAGGGUUUAAAAAUUGGAGGAAGGGACCCGAGAAUUUUAGGGACCAUGUUGGACAAGUUGGAAGUCUUCACAAUAAAGCUACACAACAUUGUACAAAUUUAAUAAAUCAGAAGCAACACGUUGAAACCAUUGUGAUCAAGUAGACAGACCAAGCUCGUAUUAAUUAUCGCAUUCUAUUAAUUGCUGCACUUGAUUGCACUAGCUAUUUCUUGCGACAAGGUCUUCCUUUUCGUGGCUAUGAUAAAAGCGAAACAUCUAGCAAUAAGGGUAAUUAUGUGGAGCUUUUGCAAUUUCUUGCCGAUCAUGAUGAGAAAGUUCGUGCCGUUGUGUUUGAAAACGCUCCAAGGAAUCUCAAGUAUAUUGCUCCUACAAUUCAAAAAGAUCUUAUCAAUUCUUGUGCCGCUGAAACCAUGGAUGCAAUUAUUAGUGAUAUGGACGAUGUAUUCUUUUCUAUAUUGGUAGAUGAAUCACGUGAUGUUUCAAUAAAAAGCAAAUGACAGUGGUGUUGCGUUAUGUGAACAAAAAAGGGCAAGUAAUUGAAAGGUUUGUGGCUGUCCAAUAUGUCUCUGAUACGACUAGUAGCAAAUUGAAAGAGGCAAUUGAGCAGUUGAUUUCUUCAACAAAUUUGAGCAUGUUCAGGCUACGAGGACAGGGGUAUGAUGGCGCUAGUAAUAUGAGAUGUGAGCUCAAUGGUCUUAAAACACAGAUUUUGAGAGAAUAUCCUCAACCAUAUUAUGUCCAUUGUUUUGCACAUCAACUACAACUAGCUCUUGUAGCCGUGGCAGAUGGAAAUGAAAACAUUGCUACUUUCUUCACAACAGCUAGUAGUGUUGCUAAUAUUAUUGGAGCAUCGUGUAAGCAUCGUGAUUGACUUAGAGAGCAACAACAAAAAGAUAUUAUGAAAACUAUUGAUGAUCUUGAAAUGGGGCGAGGGUUAAAUCAAAAGACUACUCUCAAACGUCCUUGUGAUACACGUUGGAACUCACAUUAUGAUACUUUACAUAGUAUUAAUAUUAUGUUUCAUCCCGUGGUGAAGGUGCUUGAAUGGAUUGUUGAUGAUGUCAACCAAGAUAAUUUAGGUAAAGCAAAUUGGUUGUUGAAAGAAAUACAAACUUUUGACUUUGUGUUUCACUUAUAUUUGAUGAGAUUUAUAUUGGGAAUCACAAAUGAUUUGUCAAAGGCAUUACAAAAGAAAGAUCAAGAUAUUGUGAAUGCGAUAAUGUUGGUCCAAAGAUAUAAGCAAAAGCUACAAUCCGUGAUGGAUGAUGACUUUGAUGAUUUGCUCAAGGAAGUAUCAAUAUUUUGUGGUAAAAAUGAUAUUGACGUUCCUAACAUGGAUGAUUUAUUUGUACCACAAGGGAGAUCAAGACGUAAAGCUCAGAAAAUCACAAACCGCCAUUAUUAUCGUGUGGACUUAGUUCUUACUAUCAUAGAUAAGCAACUAGUGGAAUUGAAUAAUCGCUUCACUGAGGUAAAUACUGAAUUGCUUCUUUGUAUGGCAUGUUUGAGUCUGGCUUAUAAUUUUGCAGCUUUUGACAAACAUAAAAUACUUCGUUUUGCUAAAUUUUACCAUCAAGAAUUUAAUGACCGAGACCUCAUGAAGCUUGAAGAUCAACUUGGGCUUUAUAUUGUUGAUAUGCAGAGCAUCACAGAGUUUUCAUCAUUGAAAGGAAUUACUGAUCUGGCAGAAAAAUUGGUGAAUACAGGAAGGAGUAGAAUAUACAACUAUGUGUAUUUACUUCUUACAUUUGCUUUAGUUUUACUCGUUGCAACUGCUUCGGUUGAGAGAGCUUUUUUAGCUAUGAAUAUUGUGAAAACACUAUUGCGUAACAAAAUAGGGAAUCAAUGGUUGAGUGAUAGCUUGGUUGUUUACAUUGAGAAAGAUGUUUUUUCUUGUAUUAGUAAUGCAAAUAAAAUGCGACGUUUUCAUGAUAUGAAACCUCGUCGGCAACAAUUGUAGGUCAAUUGUAAUGUUAUUAUUUUAAGGAUUAACGUCACUUUAGUCCCUGUAGGUUUAGUGUCAGUAUCGAAAUGGGCCCCAAGGUUUGAGUUUUAUCAAUUUCGUACCCAACAUUUCGAAAUAUUACCAAUUUACACCAGCCGUUACAUUGACCGUCAAAGUCAGACGUUAAAUGCUGACGUGGCAGUCGUGGGACCCACAUCAUAACCAAAUAGCUGUUAGAAAGCGACAUCACGAUGGGCAAUUUCGGAAGAAAAAAAUCGAAGAAAACGAAGAGUUCGCUUACCUGGGUUGGAAAAAUCGAACCAACUCAGUUUCUGAUUUGUGUUCGUGUUUUCGAGAGCAAAGGAGCGAGGAAAAAAGUGGAGGGAAACUGACGAAGAAGAUCCGAUUGGCUGGGCGAAAUGGAUGAAGAGGCGCCGAUGUGUUGGUGCGGAAAGGCUGCUACAAUUCGAACCUCUUGGACAGAUUCGAAUCCUGGGAGGCGAUUUUCCAUGUGUGCAGCCAAGGUACGUGAGACUAAGAGGGGUUUUAAGGGCUGUGAAUUUUGGGCAUGGUUUGAUCCGGCCAUGUGUGCACGGUCGAAGGCAGUGAUUCCUGGGCUUUUAAAAUCGCGGAAUAAGCUGGAGAAGUCAAUGGCAAUGGCAAGACAAAGAGAAAAGGUCGUUUGGGUGUUGUUGGUGGCUUCGUGGGUUCUAUUUGCAAGCAUCAUUUUGGGAGGGAUGUGUGGAUGUGGAGUAAACAAAAAGAGGAGCUUGGAAUUAGCUUUUGCCAUUGAAUGAAUGUAUUGUUAGUAGCAGUUUGUAAUGGUUUAAUUGUUAUGUAAGGGUUUAAGGGUUUAGGGUGUUAGGAUUAAGGGUUAUGGGGUAAGGCUUAAGGGCUUAUGGGGUAGGAUUAAGGGUUAUGGGGUAAGGUUUAAUUGUUAUGUAGCAGUUUAAUUGCCGACUUUUUUGUAACUUGAUGAAGUGAAUGGAAUGGCAAAAUUUGUAGAAAAUGGAAUGGCAAAAAUAAUGUAACAGGGAAGUUAGAAAAUAUUUAUCACCUGGAAUAAUGAAGUGAAUGACCAAAAUAAUGAAGCAAAGUGGCAACCCAAAAACUCAGAAAAUUCUGCAUUCAAAAUGGCUCAAAAUAACCAGAUAAUAACAUUGCAUAUCGUACAUAUUUCAUGUCCAUUCAAAUUCAUUCCAAAAUGGCAGUUUCAGUGGAUGUAUUUGCAUUCACAGUGGUUGAGGCUUAUGUGAAUGUAAUUACAUCCAUCAAAAUAAGUCAGCACUUAGUUAUACAUGACCAAUUGUUCAAAAACAAAAACCUCCUAAUCACAAACUGCCAGUCUAACAACAAAACGUGAAUAAUCAAAUAGCUUUUUCAGUGAGCUUCAAUGUACAACAUUUGAUCCUGCAGUUGAAACAGAAGUUGAUGCAUGAGGAAGCAAAGUUGAGGCUGGUUGUGCUUCAGAAGUGGCAUGUCCUUUCUUAGUUGGUUUUGGCUUCCCUUUUUGCACACGCCUUGGAGGCUUGGAUCUUUGCUUUAGGGUGCUUGGAUCACCAGCUAGAGUGGAUGCGUCAGAUGGAGUGGUCUACAACAUAAAAACUACAUCAGUUUGCAACAAACGCUUAGGGUUAUUAAAUUGAAAAAGAUUGAGUUGCUAUACCUGGGUAUUUUCAGUACCCCUCUUCCUCUUAGUUGCAGGUUUAGCUUUUGGGGGAAGAUUCCUAUGGCAAGUCCUCUUAUUGUGCCCUUUUUUACCACAUUGCCCACAUUUGAGAGAGUCCUGUGUGUUAGGAAUUCGAGACAAUGCAGUUUCAGAUUGGUUUCUUGAUGCUCUCAUCUUCAUCUUGCCCUUGUGCUCUUCCUGUUCUUUGGUUCUACAUUUUCUUGGCCUUCCAGGCUGUGUAGAGUAAGACGGAGGAAGACAUGGUGGAAAGUCACUCUUAUCCCACAUAUCCAUCCCAUGCAUAGGCAGUAUGAGAUUCUCAUAUGUCUUCAAGUAAGUUGAUUUCAAAUAGCAGUUAUCCACAAAAUCCAUGACAUUAAGACCCCCUUUAUAAUUUAUGGCUGCAAUAGCAUGAACACAAGGCCAUCUCUGCAAAUCCCAAGCUCUACAAGAACAAGUUCUCAAUUCCAAGUCCACAAUAUAUUGUGCAUGGCCACCAGCUGACACUUGGAAUUUACCUCCACCUGACCACAUUGCCACACAAGCACCUGCCUUGGCUUUAUUUCCCUCCACCUUCUUAAAUAUCCUUGGGCAGAUAGGCUUGUUCCAUGUCAGCAUUUUGUCCCUUCUUGCUUGUAUUCUCCUCAUCAGCAUACAUCUAAUAUACUCAAACAUUGACAGAAUUGGUCUAUCCCUACAUUCCAAUAUGGUAGCAUUGAAGGACUCGCAAAGAUUAUUCAACAACAUGUCACACUUCAAAUGAGUGUUGAAGUGUGACUUGGACCAAUGCCUUGGAGGUUUAUCUGGAGUGGUUAGCCAUUCAUAUGCAUCCUUUGACAGUUUUUUCAGGUCUUCCAUGGCCCUUGUAAAGUGGGGGACAGUGGUUGCAUAUGAUGCUUCCCAAAACUUGUCUCUGAGGCUUUUUGCUUUGAAAAGCACCCUAUAGUUGGAAAACAGGUGUCUUGCACAGAACCGGUGGUCACAAUUAGGGACCACUUGCUCAAAAGCAAGUACUAAACCUUUUUGUUUGUCGGAUAUAAAGGUGAAGCCAAAUUGAUUCACAAUCUCACAAUCCUUAACCAAUAGCUCCAGAAACCAAAUCCAAGAUUCCUUGCACUCUGAUUCCACAACUGCAUAAGCAAUUACCCAGGUUUCAUUAUUGGCAUCUACACCCACAGCAGUUAACAGUUGCCCUGCAUAAACACUCUUCAAAAAGCACCCAUCUAAACCUAUAAUAGGCCUGCACCCAGCUUUGAAGCCUUCCUUAGCAGCUCCUAAACAAACAUACAACCUUUGAAACUUUGGUUGCCCCACUUGUUGUUGGAAAUCACACUUAACCAUUGCUGUGGUUCCUGGGUUAGUCUUCCUUAAUUCCUCACAGUAAUCCCAAACUCUUGAAUAUUGUUCAUUGAAACUGCCCUCAAUCAGCUUUAGUGCCUUAUAUUUUGCCCUAUACACUUGUUGUCUUGACACCCAUGUAUUAUAAUCCUUCUCAACAGUCUCUUUGAAUGACUUGACUGGCCACUGGGGAUUGGACUUCAAACUGUGAACAUAUUUCUUGCUUAUCCAUGUUGACUUCACAGUAGGGUUCUCCCAUAGCUGUGUACAUGUGUGCUCACCUACAUAUGUCUUCACUUGCAAUGUGUUCUCAUGUUGCAUUUUUGAAGCAUAUAUCAUCCACUCACAAUCUGGGUCCCCACAAACUGCCUUCAGCUUCAAAGCCUCAUUCCUAAUAAACACUACAUCCCUAUUCUGCAAGAUGGAGUACUCUCUGACAGCUGCCCUAAACACCUUACAAUCACUAAACAACAGCCCAAUCUCAAACUUUGGAUCUACCAUGUCAGUUGCAGCAUUGAACUCUGGCCAAUUCUUAUCAACUUCCUCAUCAGAAUUAUACUUGGCAUAAUCCCUGCACUCAGAAUCCAAUUCAACAUCUGUAGGCCAAUCAGGAGCAGCCUCAUUCCCAGUUUCUUUAGCCCCUGUCCAUUCAGUUUGGUCAUCCACCCAUUCAUCAAAAAAAACAUCAUCUUCAUCUUCAUCUUCACUGAAGUUCUUGGGAAUCAUAUAAUCUGAGUCCUCACUAUCAGAAGCAUCAUCAUCCAAGCCUUCAAAGUUUGCAGCAUUUGCCAAACUUCUUCCACUUCUCAACAUCAUGGAAUCCCUUUGAAACUCGGUCCUGUAGCCAUCAACCCUUCCUUCCACAACUUUGUCUUUAUGGUGAACAGUCUUUGUCCUCCUCAAACUGCCACUUCUUUUUUUACCAAAUGCACGCUUCACCCUAUGUGACAUGUCAUCAACCUUGCCUUUGCCUUUAUCAGAACAACCUUGACUUGGCUUUUCUUUGCCCUUGUCAGAAUUCUCCUCAUUAUUCACAGUGACAUUUUCUUUGCCUUGUUUAGAAGCUUCAUCAAUCAAGCCAUCUUCAUUCAAGCCAUCUUCAUUCAACCCUUCUUCAUUCAACUCUUUGCCUUCUCCACAUGCUUCUUCAUUCAACUCUUCUAUUACAACACUUGUUUUUUUCACCUUUUGCACCUGGGAUACUCCCCCACCCACUGGAACAAUGGCACCACAAUUGUCAUCAAGCUCUUGAAUCACUACCCCACUGUUGGUCCCAAAUUCAUCAUCCAAAUUUAUGAAUAUGUUUGAACCCACUUGACUGUAAAACUGCUCUUGAGUGCAUGCCAAGACAUGUUCUAGGAAUAUAUUUAUCACCCUAGUGUCAGGCACAAAUACUAGCAUGUCUAAGACAUCUGUAUCUUCACUCAGCUUAACUAGGCCACCAUCAAAACUAUCACCUUGAAUACUGUACCAGUAGUUAAUCAAACCUUCGUGCCCUAACUCCUUGACCAUGGCAUCUAUCUCAGUCAUUGACAUUCUAUCUUUAUCACAAUAAUCAAACCAAUCCACAGACCCAUUCACAUAAUAGUUACCUCUUAUUUCACCAUUGUGGUUUGAAUAGAAAAUCCUGCCUCAUCCCCUGCAGGUCGAAAACCACACAUGAAUUUUACCAAUUUGACCCAAAACAAAAUACAUGUACUCCUGUUUACAAAUACAAAUACAAAUACACAUACAAAUACAAAUACAAAUACAAAUAUACAAAUGCAGAUAUACAAACACACAAAUACAAACACACAUAUACAAAUGUAUGUUUCUAUGUCAGUACACACAUAUACAAAAGGUAAGAUUCCCAAUGGUUGUAGGACCACAUACAAAAGCCAAUGUUUACUUCCGCAUACCACCUACCAUUCACACGAUUCCAUCUACCAAUUAAAUAGACACAGUGAUACCGACACCUAACUUGAAACUCACAAUCCAUUAUAAAAGCCAAACUUUCAGUCGACACCAAACUCGAAACUGACUCUAUUUGAAACUUUCACUCGAAAACAUCAUCUGCCAAUAACCUUACAACAGUAAGCCAUACGUACCAUAGAAAGGUUCUCCAUAUCCUUCCGGACGAAGUCCCCAACUCAUAUUCUUCAGAUCUUUUCGGAAACCUCCGUUUCGGUAUGAUUUUUGCAGUCUAUUUCAAAUUUUUGCACUCCAAAACACGAACAAACCCUCAAAACCUCUCCAACCUCUCCUCUAUGUCUGUCUCAGUACGAACACAACUCAGAAACUGAGUUGGUUCAAUUUUUCCAACUCAGGUAAUCGAACUCUUCCUUGGAACGCGUGCCAACUCUUCGUUUCCUUCGAUUUUUUUCUUCCGAAAUUGCCCAUCGUGACGUCGCUUUCUAACAGCUAUUUGGUUAUGAUGUGGGUCCCACGACUGCCACGUCAGCGUUUAACGUCUGACUUUGACGGUCAAUGUAACAGCUGGUGUAAAGUGGUAAUAUUUCGAAAUGUUGGGUACGAAAUUGAUCAAACUCAAACCUUGGGGCCCAUUUCGAUACUGACACUAAACCUCCGGGGACUAAAGUGGAGUUAAUCCUUAUUUUAAUUAAUUAUGAAUAACAUUAGUAUUGUUUAAAUUAUAAGGAUGUUUAGUUGUCUUGUUUUUUUUUUUUUUUUUGGGUAUUUUGUUUUGUUUUUGGGUUUUGAGCUCUUAGCUUUUAAAAAUUACACAUCCGUUGAAAAAUUCCUGGAUCCGCCGCUGUCUGUAUGCAUGGUGAUUGGUGGAUAAUGCACGUGAAUGCAUCAAACAACGGAGGUCAACCUUAUGCUUACAAUAUUAUAGCAAAAACAAAACUCAAAUGUUGUCGUCGAUAAAAUUUGAACUCCGGACAUUCUCCAAAAAUGUAAAAGCUGAAUGCCACUAAAUUAAAUGGUCGUAGAUUCACAGAUACAAAAUAAAAUGAGGAUAACGCGUGAAAGCUGCUAUGCUCUAUAAUCACGAAACAUGUGGUAUAUAUGCCUACCUUCUUUUGCGGAGCAACCUUCACUUGGAUGGGCUGAUAGGGAUGGCAAUGGGUCGAAUCGAGGGUGGGUAUGUCAUUCCCAUCCCCAUCCCCGUUAAGCUUUUUUCCCCCAUCCCCGCCUUCAUACCCGCAAUAUUCAUAUUGGGGAUUCCCCAUCCCCACCUUUGUUGGGGAAUGGGUUCCCCGACCCGUCCCAUUAGGGAAAAAAAAUCAAUAUAUAACUACUUUGUUAAAAGAAAAAAAAAACAUACUAAGGCAAGAUAAUGAAUACAAAUAAUACAUACUUACAAGACAAUAUAAGAAUGUUUAUAUAUGUGUUGGAAGUUAACUAAAUAAAUAAGUAUUAUGGCUUAAGAUUUGUAUAAGUUAUAUAAGUACAUAAUAUAAUAAUAUAAAAUAUAAAACUUAGUCGGUACAAUCACUUUAAUAGCAUAUUGAUAUACCUCAUAAACUAUAUAUAUAUAUAUAUUCCAAACGGGGAGGGUUCAGGUUGGGGAUUAAAAUAUCAUCCCCGCCCCUCCCCAAACACCAUACCCAAAAAAUUCCCCGUACCCAUCCCAAUUCCCGUGUUUGGUCCUUCAUACCUGACCCAUUAGGGUCGAAUCCCCACGAAGACCCUUACCCGGAGGGAAAAUUGCCAUCCCUAGGGCUGAGCAGUCCUCCCUAGAGGACUUCGUUCCUCAAGAUAUGAUACAAUUAUUAUUUGUUUAAAAUCUUUAUUUCAUUGUUAAAGGAUAACUACAACAUUGGGUUUUAUAAUUAAUUUGUGCCUAGAGACUCCAUGUGGGCAAAAUAUAUAAUAAACAAUUCUUUUGUUUUUUAAAUAAUAAAAAAUAUAAAAAUCAAUGUUCCUCUCUCUCCUCCCAGCCCCCAGCCCACCCGACUUACCCAGCCAACAAGUGCAACCCAGAUCUCCCCCACCCACUCCCCUUCACUGACGCAUCUCCCACACCCACCCACGACACACCUCCCCCUAGUUUUUGCCUGUUUGUUUCUCCCUCCCCGGCCCCCAAAAUUUUUUAAGGCUGUGGUGCUCAAAAUUUGGAUUUUGCAUAUACCGAUCUCACUAUUUCUCCAGUUGAAGAUUAACUAACGGUUUGUGUAACGAAGGGAGCAAAUUGUAGGGUUUCCGGAUGUUUGUAUAUGUACUCGUAAAUGUCUCUAAAAUUAGGUAUGAAGUUGAAAAUGACCUCAUAAUUUAGGGGAUUUUAUGUAGCUUGUCCAAAUAAUUUUUAACUAGUUAAAAAUAAUUUUCGGUGCUGGGAUUUGGACCAAGAAACUUGUUGGAAUUUAGGAGGUGUGCGAUGAGUGUUUGUGACGCUCCCAUACCACUUGUUAGAUUGUAAGUUGAUUGUGAGUGGUGUUGCUAUGAUACCAUUGUUGGUUUAUGUGUGAAGAGGUUUAGAACAAUAGGACAAUAGUUGAACAAAGUGAUUUUAUUAUAUUUGAAGGAGAAUGAUACAUAACUUGGUGUAGGCUAAUUGGCCUCCUUCCUAACUUAUAUAGGCUUAUUGGCCCUCUUUCUCUCUUAGCUUUAUGAGCUUAUUGGCUCCUCGGCAUAGCUUUCAAACCCUAGCCACCCCUCUAUGCUAGGGGAGGGGGAGGGAAGUUCACUGCCUUUCCUCCCCUCUCCUUCCUUCUCCUUUCUUAUAUCCUCUCAUCCGCUUCCACGCUCUUUUCUCUUGCCUUCCUUUGAGGGUUUGGUUGUGCUCUCUCCUCUAUUUUUUGUUGCCACAGAUCUCCUUAAAUCCCUCUCACCUUGUGUUGUCCUUUUGUUUUGCAGCUUUAUCUUGAUGUUAUUUAGAUUCUUUUUGCAGAUUUGUGGGUUUUGUGUGGCUGCGGUUUUUUCCUAAACCUGGGAUUCGACAGUAGUUUUCCUGUUUUCGUGGUGGCGACGACAACAACUCUACUUUCUGUCAUCUCCGGUUGGUUUUGCCUCUUUUUUUGGGUUGUAAUAAUUAUAUCAAAUCUCUUGUCAGUUGGGUGUUUUGUUUGUAGUUGAGUCUCUACUUGUAUUUUUACUUGUGAGAGUUUAAAAGUUGUAGUGAUAUUGGUAGUUUUCGGCGCUGUUGCCCACAUCUGAUUUGUUUAAGCUUGUGGCUUUCAAGUGGAAAUUUGUUUGGCUUUAUGCCACUAUUAGUGGAGAUAUACUUGUGUAUUUCUCUGGAAUAACUAUGCGUGGUUACUGUGCUUCCAUAUUUGCAUCAACCCUUUUUGGGUAGUUUAUGCCCUUAUGGCUGAUGGUCUUGGUGCCUAAGUUCUGAAUACGAUUAUCACUUACUCUCAAAAAAGAAGAGCAUAAUUUAUUAAAGUUGUGUAUUAAAAUAGGGAAUUCUGAAGAUUAACUUACAUUAUCAACUAUAUGCUGAAUCUAUUUACAUACAAAAACAAUGUUGCAAAUACUUACAUUAUCGACUGUAUGCUGUGCAACAAAGUUUUAAUUACAAUACUUUAGAAUAAUAAAAGAAUCCAAUAAAUUAUCAAAUAAAAGAAUGCAAACCAUGCCUGAUGCAUCCAGCCUGGGGGGAUUCCUUCAAAAUACUUCAACUGAAGUUCUUCUUAUGUUUUUUCAUCUUCAGAUAGCUGAAAAUGGGUUUCUCUGGUACAGGUAUAGACUUGACAACCCAACCAAUUGGCCAAGAAACAGCUGCAAUUCCAAUACAUGCACCCCAUUGCCCCCAAUUCAACCUCUCUGUAUCUGCAAACUUCUUGAGAAAUUCCACCAUCACCACCUGAAGCAGAAUUGUCACUGCAAUGAUCCCCAGAAACAAUUU
Molecule: long non-coding RNA, 28403 nt
Filed under: Prunus persica (peach)
Lineage: Eukaryota; Viridiplantae; Streptophyta; Magnoliopsida; Rosales; Rosaceae
Description: long non-coding RNA (PPER_LNC000054)
Source: RNAcentral